GUAGGGAAUAUUGGACAAUGGGGGCAACCCUGAUCCAGCCAUGCCGCGUGAGUGAAGAAGGCCCUCGGGUUGUAGAGCUCUUUUGUCCGGAAAGAAAAGCUUCGGGUUAAUACCCCGGGGUUCUGACGGUACCGGAAGAAUAAGCACCGGCUAACUUCGUGCCAGCAGCCGCGGUAAUACGAAGGGUGCAAGCGUUACUCGGAAUUACUGGGCGUAAAGCGUGCGUAGGUGGUUGUUUAAGUCUGAUGUGAAAGCCCUGGGCUCAACCUGGGAAUGGCAUUGGAAACUGGGCAGCUAGAGUGCGGUAGAGGGUAGUGGAAUUCCCGGUGUAGCAGUGAAAUGCGUAGAGGUCGGGAGGAACAUCUGUGGCGAAGGCGACUGCCUGGACCAGCACUGACACUGAGGCACGAAAGCGUGGGGAGCAAACA
This 428-nucleotide ribosomal RNA is filed under the name uncultured bacterium. RNAcentral's name for it is "bacterial SSU rRNA". It matches the Rfam family "Bacterial small subunit ribosomal RNA", at positions 354 to 774 of the family's 1533-position model. The record is from RNAcentral.